GGCAGCAGCUAAGAAUAUUCCGCAAUGGACGAAAGUCUGACGGAGCGACGCCGCGUGGAUGAUGAAGGCCGGAAGGUUGUAAAAUCCUUUUAUGACUGAGGAAUAAGGAAGUUGAGAGAAACGGCUUCUGGUGACUGUAGGUCAUGAAUAAGCAACGGCUAAUUACGUGCCAGCAGCCGCGGUAACACGUAAGUUGCGAGCGUUGUUCGGAAUUAUUGGGCGUAAAGGGCAUGUAGGCGGUUCUGCAAGUCUGGUGUGAAAUACCGGGGCUCAACCCCGGAACUGCGUUGGAAACUGCAGGACUUGAAUCGCUGAGGGGCAGCCAGAAUUCCAGGUGUAGGGGUGAAAUCUGUAGAUAUCUGGAAGAAUACCAAUGGCGAAGGCAGGCUGCCAGCAGAUGAUUGACGCUGAGGUGCGAAGGUGCGGGGAGCAAACAGGAUUAGAUACCCUGGUAGUCCGCACAGUCAACUAUGUACACUGGGUGUCCGCUCAUGAGAGUGGGUGCCGAAGCAAACGCGAUAAGUGUACCGCCUGGGGAGUAUGCCCGCAAGGGUGAAACUCAAAGGAAUUGACGG
This 575-nucleotide ribosomal RNA is filed under the name uncultured rumen bacterium. RNAcentral describes it as "bacterial SSU rRNA". It matches the Rfam family "Bacterial small subunit ribosomal RNA", at positions 347 to 916 of the family's 1533-position model. The record is from RNAcentral.